GGUUAAACAAUAAUUGAUAAACAAUAGGAUGGAACAUCGGAGUUGUCACCAAUUGUAAUGGUUAGUUCUUUGUCUGCAAUCGAG
Molecule: long non-coding RNA, 84 nt
Organism: Octopus sinensis (East Asian common octopus)
Lineage: Eukaryota; Metazoa; Mollusca; Cephalopoda; Octopoda; Octopodidae
Exons: 3
Source: RefSeq, a predicted model, not a curated record